AUUGAACGCUGGCGGCAGGCCUAACACAUGCAAGUCGAGCGGAGCGGCGGACGGGUGAGUAAUGCCUAGGAAUCUGCCUGGUAGUGGGGGAUAACGGCCGGAAAUGGGCGGUAAUACCGCAUCCUCUCAGACGAGCCUAGGCCGGAUUAGAUAGUUGGUGGGGUAAAGGAUUCCCAAGGCGACGAUCCGUAACUGGUCUGAGAGGAUGAUCAGUCACACUUGAAGUGGGACACGGUCCAGACUACUACGGGAGGCAGCAGUGGGGAAUAUUGGACAAUGGGCGCAAGCCUGAUGCAGCCACGCCGCGUGUGUGAAGAAGGCCUCCGGGUUGUAAAGCACUUGCAGCGGGGAGGCGUUACCCGCAGAAGAAGCACCGGCUAACUCAGUGCCAGCCGCCGCGGUAAUAC
This 407-nucleotide ribosomal RNA is filed under the name uncultured bacterium. RNAcentral describes it as "partial 16S ribosomal RNA". It matches the Rfam family "Bacterial small subunit ribosomal RNA", at positions 29 to 526 of the family's 1533-position model. The record is from RNAcentral.